GCACCAACAGUACCAUGUGCAGAAACUCUGGUCUUAAGUUGCUUGUGAAUACGAGCCACUGGAAACUGAAAGAAACAAAGAAACAAUAUCAGUAUAAAAUUUCAUCAAAUUAGACUACAAAAAAUGAAAUUUCUUUGUUUAUUUCAAUUUCUAGUGGGUCGUAUUCACAUACAACUCAAGACUAGAGUAUCUACAACAUGGUCUACUUGGUG
Arabidopsis thaliana (thale cress) is the source of this 212-nucleotide microRNA precursor. It matches the Rfam family "MIR841 microRNA precursor family". The record is from Rfam. NCBI's taxonomy places the organism in Eukaryota, Viridiplantae, Streptophyta, Magnoliopsida, Brassicales, Brassicaceae.